CGCCAUCGAAUGAGGCAAGACUACCCGCUGAACUUAAGCAUAUCACUAAGCGGAGGAGAAGAAACUAACCAGGAUGCCCCUAGUAAUGGCGAAUGAAGCGGGCUGAGCUCACGCUGCCAAUCUGGAGGCCUCGCGUAUGCAGCGCCCCCCGAAUUGUGGUCUAGAGAGGCGUUAUCGGCCGCGCCCGCCGCUCAAGUCCCUUGGAACAGGGUGUCGGAGAGGGUGAGAAUCCCGUACCGUGGCGGGUUGCGGCCUUACGAUGCGUCCUCGUCGAGUCGGGUUGCUUGGGAUUGCAGCUUGAAUUGGGUGGUAAAUUCCAUCUAAAGCUAAAUACUGGCGAGAGACCGAUAGCGAACAAGUACCGUGAGGGAAAGAUGCAAAGAACUUUGAAAAGAGAGUCAAAGAGUGCUUGAAAUCGGUAGGAGGAAACCCGGAUGGGCCCGGCUUCGGCGUGCCGACUCAGCCUGGGGUUCUCCCCAGGUGCACUUCUGCGCGCCGGGUCAGCCGCGCCUCGGCGCCGCGCCUCAACCCGGGAGCGGGGCUUUACGGCCAGCUCCCGUCCUGGCGCGGCCCGGGGCCCGGCUGACGGAACGGGCCCCUCCGACCCGUCUAGAAACACGGACCAAGGAGUCUGACACGUGUGCGAGUACCCGGGUGGCAAGCCCGCGUGCGGAAUGAAAGUGAAGGGCAUGCCCUGCCAACCGACCUUGACCUGCUGUGAGGGGUUUGAGUGGAGCACACCUGUCGGGACCCGAAAGAUGGUGAACUAUGCCUGGGUAGGGUGAAGCCAGAGGAAACUCUGGUGGAGGCUCGUAGCGAUACUGACGUGCAAAUCGUUCGUCGAAUCUGGGCAUAGGGGCGAAAGACUAAUCGAACCAUCUAGUAGCUGGUUCCCUCCGAAGUUUCCCUCAGGAUAGCUUGAACGCAACGGUUUUGUCAGGUAAAGCGAAUGAUUAGAGGCCUGUGGGCUGAAACAGCUUGCACCUAUUCUCAAACUUUAAAUGGGCAAGAGGCCCGGGAUGCUUGAGUGAUCCCGGGCGGCGAACGGCGCGUUCAAAGUGGGCCAUUUUUGGUAAGCAGAACUGGCGAUGCGGGAUGAACCGAACGCCGCGCUAAGGUACCCAAGUGUCCGCUCAUCAGAUACCACAAAAGGCGUUGGUACCUCCAGACAGCAGGACGGUGGCCAUGGAAGUCGGAACCCGCUAAGGAGUGUGUAACAACUCACCUGCCGAAGGUACUAGCCCUGAAAAUGGAUGGCGCUCAAGCGGACCACCGAUGCGCGGCCGCCGGCGCGAGCGCGAGGCGCCGGCGAGUAGGAGGGCGCGGGGCUCGCGGCGCAGCCUUGGGCGCGAGCCUGGGUGAAGCGGGCCCCGGUGCAGAUCUUGGUGGUAGUAGCAAAUAUUCAAAUGAGAACUUUGAAGACUGAAGUGGAGAAAGGUUCCGUGUGAACAGCAGUUGGACACGGGUGAGCCGACCCUAAGAGACAGGAAAACUCCGCCGAACGCGGCUGGUUCUGUCAGCCCGUCCGUCGAAAGGGAAUCGGGUUAAUAUUCCCGAGCCAGCGCGUGGAUGGUGGGCGGCGACGCGAACGAACCCGGAGACGCCGGCGGGAGCCCUGGGAAGAGUUCUCUUUUCUUCUUAACUGCCUCCUGCCCUGGAAUCGGUUUAGCCGGAGCGAGGGCUACACGGCAGGCAAAGCACCCUAAGUCUUGGGGUGUCCGGCGCGCUCCCGACGGCCCGUGAAAAUCCGGGGGAGCGGUUCGUUCUCACGCCUGGUCGUACUCAUAACCGCAUCAGGUCUCCAAGGUGAACAGCCUCUAGUCGAUAGAGCAAUGUAGGUAAGGGAAGUCGGCAAAAUGGUUCCGCAACCUCGGGAGAAGGAAUGGCUCUGAAGGCUGGGCGCAGGGGUCCUAGGCUCGAGGCCGGCUGGCUGCGCGGGGACUACGGCCUCACGGCUGCGGAUCCCGCGCGGCCGUCCGGCGGACGGCCUAGGAGCGCUCCGGCUCUCCCUGCGCGACGAACAGCCGCUUCAGAACUGGCGCGGACAAGGGGAAUCCGACUGUUUAAUUAAAACAAAGCAUUGCGAUGGCCCGCGAGGGUGCUGACGCAAUGUGAUUUCUGCCCAGUGCUCUGAAUGUCAAAGUGAAGAAAUUCAACCAAGCGCGGGUAAACGGCGGGAGUAACUAUGACUCUCUUAAGGUAGCCAAAUGCCUCGUCAUCCAAUUAGUGACGCGCAUGAAUGGAUUCGUGAGAUUCCCACUGUCCCUAUCUACUGUCUAGCGAAACCACAGCCAAGGGAACGGGCUUGGAAGAAUCAGCGGGGAAAGAAGACCCUGUUGAGCUUGACUCUAGUCUGUUACUGUGGAACGACUUGAUGGGUGUAGAAUAUGCGGGAGGGGCAACCCGACAGUGAAAUACCGCAACCGUCAACGUUGUUUUACUUACUCGGUGGCGCGGAGGGAGGCUCGCCUCACUUCUGGAUCCAAGCCGCUUCGUGCGCGCGAUCCGCGUCGGGGACACUAACAGGUGGGGAGUUUGGCUGGGGCGGCACGUCUGUUAAAAAAUAACGCAGGCGCCCGAUUUUGAGCUCAAUGAGAACAGAAAUCUCAUGUGGACCGAAAGGGGAAAAGCUCGGUUGAUUUUGAUUUUCAGUACGAAUACAAACCGCGAAAGCGUGGCCUAUCGAUCCUCUCGUCUUUGGGAAUUUCAAGCUAGAGGUGUCAGAAAAGUUACCACAGGGAUAACUGGCUUGUGGCUGCCAAGCGUUCAUAGCGACGUAGCUUUUUGAUCCUUCGAUGUCGGCUCUUCCUAUCACUGCCUCGCAGCGGGGGCCAAAUGCAGGAUUGUUCACCCACCAACAGGGAACGUGAGCUGGGUUUAGACCGUCGUGAGACAGGUUAGUUUUACCCUACUGCUGUCUGUUUUUCUACGGUAAUUUGGUUCAGUACGAGAGGAACCACCAAUUCGCAUCAUCGGUAUAGCCGCCGCCGGAAACGGCGAUGCGGCGAAGCUGCCAUGCGCCGGAUUAUAACUGAACGCCUCUAAGUUAGAAUCCAUGCCGGAAGGAAAGCCACCUACCGGCCCGGGGACGCCACGAGCAACGGUAGCACUGCCUGAGCCGCGAGCGACCACAAUUCACGGACCCGGGCCGACGAAUCCCUUGCAGACGACUUGAAUAAGGAACGGGGUAUUGUACGCGGCAGAGUGGCCUUGUUGCCACGAUCCGCUGAGAUUCAGCCUUGGUUCUGACGAUUUGU
Molecule: non-coding RNA, 3257 nt
Organism: Emiliania huxleyi CCMP1516
Lineage: Eukaryota; Haptophyta; Isochrysidales; Noelaerhabdaceae
Source: Rfam